GUUGUUUCAAGGGAAAUCAGUUCCAUGCACUUUGGAUGCUCUUUCCACUGUGGGCUUGAACAGCAAUAGAUCAACUAUUGUUUUCAGGUGAUCUGUUUGGUGCCUGCAGUUCCCAUUUCUUCACCCUCACAAGUUUCACAGUGGCUGUUGUGCAAGGUAGAGUCCGGACAGAAGACGGAGAUCAUUGACAAAGCCCAGAGACCUCCCCUCGUCUCCUGGAAAAAUCCAUACAAUAUGGAAGUCCGCAUUUUUCUUUAUUGGUUCACCAGUUAUGUGAACCCCUGGAUAUAUCACAUCUUCAUCCUAAAUGCUGCAUAAUCUAGUACCAGUGUUCUUUAGAGAAGUGCCUAGAAUUACUUUUGCUAGAUUAAAAUGUGGUGUUGUAUUAGUAGAUGUUAUUGAAAGAUGAAGACAAAUCUUUUUUAUCAUUCUUAUGAUGAAAUAAAUACAUCUGAAUCUUAUUUUUAUUAUAGGAACCUGGAUUUUGCCUGUGUCCUGUACUUGUUUUCCAGGUGCAGUACCAGCAAACUAGCAUCUUUGUUUAAACUGCUGUAGUAAGGAGAAAUAGGCCAGUAAAUGUGUUACACUUUACAUAGAUACUACUAGACUGCAGAGUGGCUGUACCACUCAAUUUAAGUUCAGAGUAUGAUGUAUGUUGUCUUUUAAUUUAUAGGGGCAUUCAUUUACUUAUGCAGCAAAACACACAUAGGUUAUCCCAAGGUAUUAAGGAAUUGAGACAAUGACAGUGCUUUACUCAGUGGCAAAGUACUGUAGGAAAUGCAUGAGGUCCCCGAUAAUUGUUAUUUCAGUCCAUGGCAAAUUACUCAACAUGCUUUGCUCUUCAUCUACCAAUUAACCUACAAUUCACUGGGUGUGAGCUGGGGUGAAGGAUAAGGCAGAAGAAGCAGCAAGGAGCAGUUAGUAGGACAGAAUGUGGUCACUGACUGAGGGCAAUGAUGCCGCACAUCCCAGGGGCAGAGGACCCAGCAACCGAAACGGGAUAGAAAAGAUGGUCACUGACUGAGGGCGACGAUGCCGACACAUCUCAGGGGCAAAGGACCCAGCGACCGAAGACAGGAUAGAAAAGAGGUUGCUGACUGAGGGCGACGAUGCCGCACAUCCCAGGGGCGGAGGACCCAGCAAACGAAAACACAUAUGAGGGUUAUGACUCGGAAAGCCGCCCCUCGAGAGGAGAUGAGAGAGGUACCCAGCAUCUGAGGCUUCUGUAAGGGGCUCUCGUAAAACCCCUGAUUGGCCGAGACGUCAUGCUGCCUGGGACCUGAAAAUAAGGACAAAGCAUUGAGGUUAGUAUAGGACUCAGCACGAGUGACCAUGUCCUGAAGAGAGGCAGAAUAGAACAGAGCCUCGAGUGAGAAGAUGAGCGCAGGAGCUGCGACAGGACAGAGUUUGGCCGGGGGUCCGCUCUGACUCACGUGGUGAGAACCCCCCUGAAGGUAAGGGAGGCGGAUGCCUAGCCCUGAGGUCGGGGAAGUGAGACUCACUUGCCCCCAAGAGAUGACCGAUGCGAAGGCAUGUAAGAAGGUGGAGGAGGGGAGGAGAAGGAAAACGAAACACUAGACAGAAAAGGUGCAGGUGAUCAGGUCUUAAAUACUAAAUAGAUGCUAAUUAACGGGAGAUUAGAAAAUUAAAAGAUUAGAAGAUUAGAGGCCCCCAGCUCCACGCCCCCUGAACCUCGCAAGCUAACAUGAAAAAAAUAUCUGUAAAUGAAAAAAUCAAAAACAUGUCGGGAGGGAUCUACUAAUCAUCCUUGCUGGGAUUGUUUUGUUAAGAUUGAUAUUCCAAACGACUAUCUUUCCCGCCAGAUACAUUGUGUCUCUCGCUUGGCAGACCUGGAUGUUGUUUUUGGACAUUGACAGGCAGAAUAUGUGGGGGUGAUGUUAUCAUUUCAGACCAGCUCUGGAGAUAAUGUUUAAUAAUUAUUGUAGAUGUUAUUGUACACUGUGUCACAGAGGGAAUGUUUUUGAGCUUAGAAUACUUUUGUAGAACUUCCAACAUUUGUGUGAUGUUAUGUACAACUGCUCAAAGUGACCCCUUGUAACCCCAGAAGAAAUUCUAGGAAAUGUCACACCAUAUUUCAACAUCACUUUUUGAUCUUACUUAAUAAAAUAAGGGAUUUGUUAUCAUUACGGCAGAGUGGAAAAAGCUGCCCAGCAUCCUGAAGUUACAUUUUGAAAGCAUUUCUGCUAUACACGGUCUCCAGAAUUUUGUUGCCCUAAGUCCCGGUUGAUGGUAGCUAAGAUGAUUAAGCCAUUUUAUUUUGAUUAAAAGUAGUUUACAACAGACAAAUAGAUUCUCCAAAUACAUUUGAUCAUAAAUUUAGAGGUAAAAUUGUAUUACCUGAAAUAUGUAGUACUUAAGUGACUGUAUCAUUUUAUAUAACAGUAAGACUGUCAAGUCCGUGGAUAAUAAUUAACACAGUAACUGCUGAAAUGUUUUGGACAUAAUAUUAAUAGGUGCAUUUAAAAAAGAAAAAAAAACAAAA
Molecule: long non-coding RNA, 2503 nt
Organism: Acipenser ruthenus (sterlet)
Lineage: Eukaryota; Metazoa; Chordata; Actinopteri; Acipenseriformes; Acipenseridae
Exons: 3
Source: RefSeq, a predicted model, not a curated record